This 509-nucleotide long non-coding RNA is filed under the name Prunus dulcis (almond). Its description in RNAcentral is "sRNA ncRNA". Lineage: Eukaryota; Viridiplantae; Streptophyta; Magnoliopsida; Rosales; Rosaceae. The record is from RNAcentral.
GCCAAACUCUUGUUUGGCAAGAAUUCAUGCAAUCAGAAUCUCCACCGAGGCUAGGCAAAACAAAGACUGGGACUUUGAGAUCAAGGGAUAUUUUUCUGAUGUAGGAUUGUUGACUCAAGAGGCAACACAAUGGCACAUGUAAUAAUCCCUACUCAUGAAAGAAUAUAUAAAAAGUUUCAUUCUUAGUUUCUAUUGAAAUUCUGAAUGUUUGGAUUGGUUUAUUGAUCACAAUGAAACACAGAUAGGGGUAAAGAAGGAGUUGAUGGCAAGCAAGGAUCUCUACCAUGUUGUGGUGACACCAGACAUGGAUCAAGCUUUUGUUAUUGGGGUCAUUACCAUUCUUGAUUACAUAUAUGUUGAAUCCACUAGGUGCUAGUAAUUCUUAUAUUCAAGAGAAGCUGUACUAAUUGGGGAGGUAUCUUCACAAUCUGAAGAUUUAAAGUUGAAAAAAGGACCUAAAACUCAAAAAACCCAGCUGCUGUUUUAGCCUAGAAAUUUGAAGUUUUUCG